Molecule: ribosomal RNA, 412 nt
Filed under: uncultured bacterium
Lineage: Bacteria
Description: bacterial SSU rRNA
Rfam family: Bacterial small subunit ribosomal RNA
Source: RNAcentral
AUUAAUUCGAUGCAACGCGAAGAACCUUACCUGGGUUUGACAUAUGCCGGAAGGCUGCAGAGAUGCAGCCCCCGCAAGGUCGGUUUACAGGUGGUGCAUGGCUGUCGUCAGCUCGUGUCGUGAGAUGUUGGGUUAAGUCCCGCAACGAGCGCAACCCUCGUCCUAUGUUGCCAGCGGGUCAUGCCGGGGACUCAUAGGAGACUGCCGGGGUCAACUCGGAGGAAAGUGGGGAUGACGUCAAGUCAUCAUGCCCCUUAAGUCCAGGGCUUCACGCAUGCUACAAUGGCUGGUACAAAGGGCUGCGAUGCCGUAGGUGGAGCGAAUCCCAAAAAGCCAGUCUCAGUUCGGAUUGGGGUCUGCAACUCGACCCCAUGAAGUCGGAGUCGCUAGUAAUCGCGGAUCAGCAACGCUG